RNAcentral lists this ribosomal RNA (702 nucleotides) under uncultured eukaryote. Its description in RNAcentral is "SSU rRNA". It matches the Rfam family "Eukaryotic small subunit ribosomal RNA", at positions 621 to 1329 of the family's 1831-position model. The record is from RNAcentral.
AAAAAGCUCGUAGUCGGAUUUCGGGGCGGGCCGGGCGGUCUGCCGAUGGGUAUGCACUGUCCGGCGCGUCCUUCUUUCCGGAGACCGCGCCUACUCUUAGCUGAGCGGGCGUGGGAGACGGAUCGUUUACUUUGAAAAAAUCAGAGUGUUUCAAGCAGGCAGCUCGCUCUUGCAUGGAUUAGCAUGGGAUAAUGAAAUAGGACUCUGGUGCUAUUUUGUUGGUUUCGAACACCGGAGUAAUGAUUAACAGGGACAGUCAGGGGCACUCGUAUUCCGUCGAGAGAGGUGAAAUUCUCAGACCAAUGGAAGACGAACCACUGCGAAAGCAUUUGCCAGGGAUGUUUUCACUGAUCAAGAACGAAAGUUAGGGGAUCGAAGACGAUCAGAUACCGUCGUAGUCUUAACCAUAAACCAUGCCGACUAGGGAUUGGAGGGUGUUCUAUUUGACCCCUUCAGCACCUUACGGGAAACUAAAGUCUUUGGGUUCCGGGGGGAGUAUGGUCGCAAGGCUGAAACUUAAAGGAAUUGACGGAAGGGCACCACCAGGAGUGGAGCCUGCGGCUUAAUUUGACUCAACACGGGGAAACUUACCAGGUCCAGACAUAGUGAGGAUUGACAGAUUGAGAGCUCUUUCUUGAUUCUAUGGGUGGUGGUGCAUGGCCGUUCUUAGUUGGUGGAGUGAUUUGUCUGGUUAAUUCCGUU